RNAcentral lists this long non-coding RNA (414 nucleotides) under Mytilus galloprovincialis (Mediterranean mussel). The record is from RNAcentral. Lineage: Eukaryota; Metazoa; Mollusca; Bivalvia; Mytilida; Mytilidae.
CUGUAAUCUGUCCAGUAACGCAGGUAAAAAUUCAUCAAUCAUUACUCGUUCAUCCUCAGUUCUUGGUCGUCCAUUAACUGUGGAAGCGAUUCCCAGAAUAACACAUAAGACAAAUAUAUUGCGGCCAUUUUAGAUUGGAAUCAAUUUUUAAACGACCCAAAUAGAAUAAUCCGAAACAGAGAUUUCUCGUUAAUUCUUAUCACAUAUUGUCGCUAUAUACACCUGUAAAAUAUUGUACACUGUCGUGUAAAUAUGUUUGUAAUGUCUUCCUACAAUCGAUAAUGUCAAAGUUUGUAUGACGUCUAUGAAAUAAUUAAUGUUGCCAGAGAUACAGGAACUGAGGAAUUGAUUUUUGUGUGGGUGCUGAAGACUAAUCAAUAUGGUUGGAAUAACAUUAGAACGAUCAGUGUUUCC